GGUUGUCUCCACCUGGCCUGACCCGCUCUUGUAUUUGGGCUUUGUUACCUGGGACUGGUUUCCCGGACUUCUUGCUUUUAAUUUUAGUUACCUGUGAUCCACCACGGUCGGAAACAGAUGAUUCUCCUUCUGACUUGUCUGCAGAAGGUCAGUAAAGGAGCCUAACGCCAGGCUCCAGUGCCUAUGUAACUCACCGUACUUCAUCUCAUCAAAUAAGCAUUUUGUCAUCUCACAUCAUCACAAGAAGGGUGCUUCCAGUCUGCAGUCAAGGUUGAAAGCCACUGUCACAGAGAUUCAACAACCCAAACAAGAUAAUAAUUCCAACCAUUUCUUAUGUUUCAAGCAUGAUGUCUAAAAAGACCUUAAAUUCAUGGCUCCUCCCAAGCAAUCCAGGUCAAACAUGGUCG
Molecule: long non-coding RNA, 407 nt
Filed under: Mustela putorius furo (domestic ferret)
Lineage: Eukaryota; Metazoa; Chordata; Mammalia; Carnivora; Mustelidae
Description: lncRNA (ENSMPUG00000029637.1)
Source: RNAcentral